UUGCUCCUACGGGGCGCAGCAGUGAGGAAUAUUGGUCAAUGGCCGAGAGGCUGAACCAGCCAAGUCGCGUGAGGGAAGACGGCCCUACGGGUUGUAAACCUCUUUUGUCGGGGAGCAAAGCGAGUCACGUGUGACUCAUUGAGAGUACCCGAAGAAAAAGCAUCGGCUAACUCCGUGCCAGCAGCCGCGGUAAUACGGAGGAUGCGAGCGUUAUCCGGAUUUAUUGGGUUUAAAGGGUGCGCAGGCGGGAGAUCAAGUCAGCGGUAAAAUGUCGGGGCUCAACCCCGGCCGGCCGUUGAAACUGG
RNAcentral lists this ribosomal RNA (305 nucleotides) under uncultured bacterium. RNAcentral describes it as "bacterial SSU rRNA". It matches the Rfam family "Bacterial small subunit ribosomal RNA", at positions 333 to 636 of the family's 1533-position model. The record is from RNAcentral.